GAUGAACGCUGGCGGCGUGCCUAAUACAUGCAAGUCGAGCGAACAGACGAGGAGCUUGCUCCUCUGACGUUAGCGGCGGACGGGUGAGUAACACGUGGAUAACCUACCUAUAAGACUGGGAUAACUUCGGGAAACCGGAGCUAAUACCGGAUAAUAUAUUGAACCGCAUGGUUCAAUAGUGAAAGACGGUUUUGCUGUCACUUAUAGAUGGAUCCGCGCCGCAUUAGCUAGUUGGUAAGGUAACGGCUUACCAAGGCAACGAUGCGUAGCCGACCUGAGAGGGUGAUCGGCCACACUGGAACUGAGACACGGUCCAGACUCCUACGGGAGGCAACAGUAGGGAAUCUUCCGCAAAGGGCGAAAGCCUGACGGAGCAACGCCGCGUGAGUGAUGAAGGUCUUCGGAUCGUAAAACUCUGUUAUUAGGGAAGAACAAAUGUGUAAGUAACUAUGCACGUCUUGACGGUACCUAAUCAGAAAGCCACGGCUAACUACGUG
This 497-nucleotide ribosomal RNA is filed under the name uncultured bacterium. RNAcentral describes it as "partial 16S ribosomal RNA". It matches the Rfam family "Bacterial small subunit ribosomal RNA", at positions 28 to 507 of the family's 1533-position model. The record is from RNAcentral.